This 73-nucleotide transfer RNA is filed under the name Obscuribacter phosphatis (SeqCode). Its description in RNAcentral is "tRNA-Thr". It matches the Rfam family "tRNA". Rfam says of the family: Transfer RNA (tRNA) molecules are approximately 80 nucleotides in length. Their secondary structure includes four short double-helical elements and three loops (D, anti-codon, and T loops). RNAcentral also lists the same sequence under 2 other names. The record is from RNAcentral. Lineage: Bacteria; Bacillati; Candidatus Melainabacteria; Candidatus Obscuribacterales; Obscuribacteraceae (SeqCode).
GCCGACGUAGCUCAGCUGGUAGAGCAACGGUUUCGUAAACCGUAGGUCACGGGUUCAAAUCCCGUUGUCGGCU